Conger conger (European conger) is the source of this 173-nucleotide non-coding RNA. RefSeq annotates it as small Cajal body-specific RNA 1. The transcript has a single exon. The record is from RefSeq and is a predicted model, not a curated record. NCBI's taxonomy places the organism in Eukaryota, Metazoa, Chordata, Actinopteri, Anguilliformes, Congridae.
CUGCACCUGAUACUGACCUUGCGGUCCCCAGCCCUGUGGCCCCCCUGCGUGGGCAGCUGCGGGCUGGGCCCCUGUGGCCCCCGGGUCUCCAGAGGUGCCAGAUUAAGCGCAGCCCUGAGAUUUAAGCUCUGAGUGUGGAGAUGCGCUCUGUGUUAUGACUCAGUGGCACAGAU